Molecule: ribosomal RNA, 253 nt
Filed under: uncultured bacterium
Lineage: Bacteria
Description: partial 16S ribosomal RNA
Rfam family: Bacterial small subunit ribosomal RNA
Source: RNAcentral
GACAGAGGAGGCAAGCGUUAUCCGGAAUUAUUGGGCGUAAAGCGUCCGUAGGUGGUUUGACAAGUCUGGGGUUAAAGCCCGGAGCCCAACUCCGGAUCGGCCCUGGAAACUGUCAGACUUGAGUAAGGUAGGGGUUGCGGGAAUUCCCGGUGUAGCGGUGAAAUGCGUAGAUAUCGGGAAGAACACCAGCGGCGAAAGCGCGCUACUGGACCAUGACUGACGCUGAGGUACGAAAGCUAGGGGAGCAAAAGGG